GACGAACGCUGGCGGCGUGCUUAACACAUCCAAGUCGAACGGAAAGGCCCUGCUUUUGUGGGGUGCUCGAGUGGCGAACGGGUGAGUAACACGUGAGUAACCUGCCCUUGACUUUGGGAUAACUUCAGGAAACUGGGGCUAAUACCGGAUAGGAGCUCCUGCUGCAUGGUGGGGGUUGGAAAGUUUCGGCGGUUGGGGAUGGACUCGCGGCUUAUCAGCUUGUUGGUGGGGUAGUGGCUUACCAAGGCUUUGACGGGUAGCCGGCCUGAGAGGGUGACCGGCCACAUUGGGACUGAGAUACGGCCCAGACUCCUACGGGAGGCAGCAGUGGGGAAUAUUGCACAAUGGGCGGAAGCCUGAUGCAGCAACGCCGCGUGCGGGAUGACGGCCUUCGGGUUGUAAACCGCUUUCGCCUGUGACGAAGCGUGAGUGACGGUAAUGGGUAAAGAAGCACCGGCUAACUACGUG
This 468-nucleotide ribosomal RNA is filed under the name uncultured bacterium. RNAcentral describes it as "partial 16S ribosomal RNA". It matches the Rfam family "Bacterial small subunit ribosomal RNA", at positions 28 to 507 of the family's 1533-position model. The record is from RNAcentral.